Molecule: ribosomal RNA, 349 nt
Filed under: uncultured Oscillospira sp.
Lineage: Bacteria; Bacillati; Bacillota; Clostridia; Eubacteriales; Oscillospiraceae
Description: partial 16S ribosomal RNA
Source: RNAcentral
GGAGUCUGGGCCGUAUCUCAGUCCCAAUGUGGCCGUUCAACCUCUCAGUCCGGCUACUGAUCGUCGCCUUGGUGGGCCGUUACCCCUCCAACUAGCUAAUCAGACGCGAGGCCAUCUCAGAGCGAUUCCUCUUUGGCAACCAAACCAUGCGAUCCAGUUGCAUCAUGCGGUAUUAGCAGCCGUUUCCAGCUGUUGUCCCCCUCUCCAAGGCAGGUUCCUCACGCGUUACUCACCCGUCCGCCACUUUCCUCGCUUUCCGUUGUCCGAAAACUCCUUCCAGCGAUUCUCGUUCGACUUGCAUGUGUUAAGCACGCCGCCAGCGUUCGUCCUGAGCCACUGAUCAAACUCU